UACAGAGGUGGCGAGCGUUGUUCGGAUUUACUGGGCGUAAAGGGCGCGUAGGCGGCUCGGUGUGUCGGAUGUGAAAUCCCACUGCUCAACGGUGGAACGCCAUUCGAAACUACCGGGCUAGAGUGCAGGAAAGGAGAGCGGAAUACUCGGUGUAGCGGUGAAAUGCGUUGAUAUCGAGUAGAACACCAGUGGCGAAGGCGGCUCUCUGGAAUGCUACUGACGCUGAGGCACGAAAGCGUGGGGAG
RNAcentral lists this ribosomal RNA (245 nucleotides) under uncultured bacterium. Its description in RNAcentral is "partial 16S ribosomal RNA". It matches the Rfam family "Bacterial small subunit ribosomal RNA", at positions 524 to 768 of the family's 1533-position model. The record is from RNAcentral.